RNAcentral lists this small RNA (423 nucleotides) under Oryza sativa Japonica Group (Japanese rice). Its description in RNAcentral is "sRNA Os10g0540250". The record is from RNAcentral. Lineage: Eukaryota; Viridiplantae; Streptophyta; Magnoliopsida; Poales; Poaceae.
GUGUGUUGGAGGAAGAGCAAGAGACACACGCUCUUGCUCAGGUGUUCAUCCUAAUCCUUUUAUAAUUUUUGAUUUCUCAUGUGCAAAAUAUUUUCUUAGAUGAAAUUGCUACUCCUUGUGGCAUUUAAAUCUGAUCAUGGUUGCCAAAGAAGGAUUCAAGCAGGCAGCGCCAAACUUCAGAGAUCAAACAUGCUGAGAAAUGUGAAAAAACAACAGCCAAAACUUUUUGACAGGAAAAUUCUGUAAUUCUGUAAAGUGGUAGGGUUCUGUAAUUCUGUAGGUUAGGUUGAAAUUGACAUCUCAUUACUGUAAUGCUGGAAUUUCAGUAUGUAAUAUCAAUUUUUUGGGUUAUUUAGAAAGACAAAUACAGCUGAUGGGUAUACGAUGUGGUUUUGUAUAAAGACAAUUUGCUUCUUUCUUCUU